This 492-nucleotide ribosomal RNA is filed under the name uncultured bacterium. Its description in RNAcentral is "partial 16S ribosomal RNA". It matches the Rfam family "Bacterial small subunit ribosomal RNA", at positions 29 to 507 of the family's 1533-position model. The record is from RNAcentral.
AGUGAACGCUGGCGGUAGGCCUAACACAUGCAAGUCGAACGGCAGCACAGUAAGAGCUUGCUCUUACGGGUGGCGAGUGGCGGACGGGUGAGGAAUACAUCGGAAUCUACUUUUUCGUGGGGGAUAACGUAGGGAAACUUACGCUAAUACCGCAUACGACCUACGGGUGAAAGCAUGGGAUCUUCGGACCUUGCGCGAUUGAAUGAGCCGAUGUCGGAUUAGCUAGUUGGCGGGGUACAGGCCCACCAAGGCGACGAUCCGUAGCUGGUCUGAGAGGAUGAUAAGCCACACUGGAACUGAGACACGGUCCAGACUCCUACGGGAGGCAGCAGUGGGGAAUAUUGGACAAAGGGCGCAAGCAUGAUCCAGCCAUACCGCGUGAGUGAAGAAGGCCUUCGGGUUGUAAAGCCCUUUUGUUGGGAAAGAAAAGCAGCAGGUUAAUACCCCGCUGUUCUGACGGUACCAAAAGAAUAAGCACCGGCUAACUUCGUG